Oncorhynchus nerka (sockeye salmon) is the source of this 610-nucleotide long non-coding RNA. RefSeq lists it as uncharacterized. Lineage: Eukaryota; Metazoa; Chordata; Actinopteri; Salmoniformes; Salmonidae. The record is from RefSeq and is a predicted model, not a curated record. The transcript is spliced from 3 exons.
GUGAGUGUACAAAGCUGUCCAGGACUCAACACGUGUGGAUGUCCUCCACUAAAGAACCAAUGGGUUCUUUCUAUUUUAGCUUCCAGUCGAUGGUACAAGUAUUGUCAUUCACCUGCUGCUAGAAGGCUGGCAUGCAGGACCAGAUAUCAACUGUCUUGUCCUCUGUCCUGUUCUCUAAUCAGAAAUCACAAAUGAACCACCUGCUGGAGCUGAGGCUCAAGCGCCAGGUCAUCUGUAAGCUGGAGAUGGAGAUGGUGAUUGCGUAUGGAUCCUUGGGUUACGGAUACUCCCACCAGGUUAGAGGGAGACACAUCAGUGUUUGUGUAGAUGUGGAGGAAGAAUUGAUCUUGCCUAUCUAUUAUUUACUCCCUAGUUGAAGCACCCAAAUAGAAACAUGGAGAGCCUAGUGGAGCGCUCGCUCUUCCUCCGCUGUCCACCACCGGACGACCGCAAAGACCAUCACUAUAAUGUGGUCACUCCUAAGCCAGUACCUUAUUCAGACUUCAUCGCAGCGCUGAUGUACAGAGAGACCACCAACCCAGACAACAGGACGACUUACCCCUCAAACAGCACAAUAUCCCCCAUCAUCCUGGAAUGUAUGGAGAAGAGG